RNAcentral lists this long non-coding RNA (8419 nucleotides) under Salvia miltiorrhiza (redroot sage). Its description in RNAcentral is "long non-coding RNA (SMIL_LNC005914)". Lineage: Eukaryota; Viridiplantae; Streptophyta; Magnoliopsida; Lamiales; Lamiaceae. The record is from RNAcentral.
UCACACUUCAAUUCUCGGCCUCCCCUCUCUCUCUCUAUACUCUUCUUUUCCUCUAUUGAUGUCCAUUGAAGAAAGCUUAGAGAAGCUUCAUCAAACACUACUAUGAGAUAAUCCACCAUCCAAUCCAAUCAAAUACUAUCAUAUCUCAUCAAAUUCAAGAAGCUAGAGCUAAGAUCAAAGUUGGAGCAAAGUCUUGAUCACCUUUUAAAUCCUUGAGUAAGUGAUCUUAGAUUAUUUAUUUGAUCAUAUUAAUGAUAUGUGAGUGAGUAUAUGAUCAUGAUUGAGCAAGAAAUCACCCAAUUAUUUUUAUGAAACUUUCGAAAAUUAGGAGCUUGAAACCUACGAAUUUUGUUGUUUAUUUUCUUGACUUGGCUUGAGUUAUAUGAUGAUGGAUUUGAGUUUAUGAGAUGAUCUAGAUGAUUAAUGAUGGAUGAGAUUGAAGCUUGAGGUUGAGAAGUGAAAAAUGAAAAAUGUUAGUUUGAGGAAGAAGAUGAUAUAUAUGUGUUUCUAUAUGUGAUUUUGUUAUAUGAUGUUGUAUUUGAAGUAUUUGUAGGUGGGUUAUAUGAUUUCUUGAGCAUGCUAUGAUGUUAAGUGAUGGUUUAGAUUGAUGAUUAGAAGUGAUGAAAUGAGUUUUGGGAUGAGUUGUUGUUGAGAAUUAUGAUGUUAUAUUCAAGUUAGAGAUAUUAUUAAGAUAUAUAGUUUUAAAUACAAUUGGAGAAUUUCGUAGGCCUACUGACCUACUGUGAUCGAUGGUUUUCGAUGUCUAAUAGUUUGAAAAUUUUAUAGCAAGUUUCUACAUGAGUUUGAGUACCCUGGUAAAAUUUCAAGCUAUUUCAAUUUCGUUUGAUAUUUCUUUAAAAUGCAAAACCUAAACUGCACAUUAACCGAGAAUUUCAGAGAACAGUGGAAGAGUAUUCAUUUCAGUAGCUUCCUGUGUGAUUAGUUUCCAAUUUUUAUGGUAUUAACUUAUUGUGUUAUCUAGAUAUCCACCAAAUUUGAGCCAGUUUGACAACGUUUACUAUUUUCAAAAAUAGUUUUCGUUGCUCAAAACUGCCGAAUAUGGUAGAUCGGUGGUAAAAACGUCAUAUCUCUCAAACCACUUGGAUUUUCGCCUCUAUUUUUUUAUAUGAAACUAGACUCGAAGAUCUUUCUUUUGGUAUGAUCUCGAGUCCAGGAGAUGUCGAGUCAGAACAGUUAAAUUUUGAAGUUGAACCAGUGUAAAAACAGAGCAUGUUUUAAUGAUGUUUGAUUGUGAUUCUUAUGUGCCUUAUGUGAUUGUGUUGCCUAUGUGUUUGAAUUUUCACUAAAUUAUUUUAGUGAAUUUAAAUCUCUUGAUUUAAAUUUUAAUAUUUAAGGUUGGGACUAUUUAUUUUAAAUGAGGUCCGUUCUUUUAUUUAAUUUAUUGAUGGAACUUUAAAAAUGAAAACAAAUUUUGGGAUUAAACCCUCAUUUUUAUAUAUUUCAAGGCUUUUUGAGUAUGGAUUUUAAAUGGUUAAAAUGUUUUAUUUCAUCUCAAUGGAUUUUAAAAUGUUUUAUUAUUUAUAAAUGAAUAAUGGAAUUUCUUAUUUAUUUACAUGAAAAAAAAAUGAAAUGUAUAGAAUGUUAUAAAAUGGUGCAUGAUUUCUUUUAUGUUCAUGUGAACUUGUGAUUUUAAUGAUACUAAACUUGAGGAUUUUAUUUCUUUCUGUUUAUUGUUUACGUGAUUACGUGAUAUUAUGUGGUUAGUCACGAGGUUAUGUUGGUUUUCGAUUGUCUUUAAUGGAACGAAUUAUGGAUGCUAGAACCCUAAAACACUAAAAGAAAGAUCGAGUAAGAUAUUGUUGGUGUCUUAACUCAAGAAUUAGUUUUCAAGUAUUUAUUCAUUAAAUUUUGAAAACCCGGCGUAUGAAUCAUAGAUGUUAGACAUCAAACAUUAAGAUUAGUUCAAGAGACCUAUUAAGAUAGAAUUUCUUGUAGGCUUUGUGGACCAGGGGAUUAGCCUGCUUUCCCAAGACAGGUUUAUAUGUGAUUAUGAUCUUCAGGCUUUGCCUAACCAGGUGGGCUUACUUUCCAAAUGUAAAAGUAUGAUUGAGUUAUUAAGCUCUAAAAUGUUUCAAUGAAAUGCAAAUUGUUUAUUAAUAAAUGAAAACUGUUUAUCCAAUAAAAUGUUUAUGUGCACUCUGCUCUGUUUAAGGCUCGCAAUAUGAUCGAUCGAGGUUCUCUUAUGCCUAACACGUUAUUUGAGAAUUGUGUACACUGUUAGUGUCGGUGGGUUGAUCUCCAUCGGGCACUAAUUCAUGUAAGAGGCGUUAUAAGGGUGCUCGCUGGAUGUGUUCCGAGUCAUGUAUCAUGUAAGGCCUGCCUGGGUAGCGUCCCGAGUCAAUCAACUUGUCUGGUUACGCCUCAGGCAAGUGCAAAUGGGAGAAAUGGAUCCGGUCGGUGGCUAAAAGGUCCGGGAUCACAGCGAGUAACAGAAAGGGAGUGUGACAUGUGCGCACAAAUGAAAGAAAUUAUUUUAACAUGCUUAGAAGUUCUUUCAAUUUAAAACCUUCUAAGUCAUGUCAAGUAUGAUUGGAUAAACUGUCUUUACGAAAAUAUGAAAUGUUUCAGAAAAUGCAUGCCCACUAAGUACAUUAGUACUUAGCCCAAAAAUACUUUCAAAUGUUUUCAGGUUGGCUGGCUGGUGCUGACGGGACGGAGCUGAGGCUAGGGUUCAACUUCCUAUUAAGACUUCCGCUGUAGCAAUAAAUAAUAUCUAGUCUUUUGUUUUCCCAACUUAAGACUUUCAUAUUAAAUUUCAAAUGACAUCUUGAUUGAGCUUAGACUCUUAACUCCUAGAUUUAUGCUAAUGAAUGUUGGUUGUCAGAAGCAUGAAACAAAACUUGUGAUCCAAAGGGGCAUAGCCCGACUUGCAAUCUUAUUCGGUUUUAACAAGGUUUUUCCCUUGUUUAUUUCUAUGAAUUAGUUGCACCUCGAUUAUAUUUAUUCAUUCAAGAAUUGGGGUGUGACAGAAUGGUAUCAGAGCAUGAGUUUUCUUUCAUGUCUCUGAUAACCAUAAGCUUUUUGAUGUCGAGUCUAGAAUAGUAUCUCUAGACUUCUAAGAAUGUCAGUAGCCCUCAGCUCGCCGUCACACUGCCGCAACCAAGGUACGAUAAUAGUUUCAAAAAUAUACAUAUAUGUAUUUCAAAUGUUAUGAAUGUUUCCAAAAAAGAAAAAAAUGUGCGCUUUCAAUGAAUGAUGCUAUGUGAAUUGCUUACCGCUUUCCAUAUGCUAUAAGUUAUGAAUUGUUCUUUCAUAUUGUUAUUUUGGGUCUCCGACCCAUAUAACCAGAUAAGUGUCGUGUUUGGGACUACCCGAACCCAUAACGACUCAAUGAAUGUUAUUUCGUGUUUGGGACUACCCGAGCCCUUAACGAAUCAAUGUAUGUAUGGUUGAGUUAGAUUCAUUGAAUCUUUCCGGCACAAGCAAAGUUUUCAUGAAAGGGACUUUAAAUGUCCAUAUAUGUUAAGGUUUCAAAAGAAACAGAAUUAUGAAUGAAUGAAUGAAUGAAUGAGAAAGCUUUAUGUUGUCGUUUUAGGCUAGCUGCCUAUACGAUUAGAAUGAUGGGUCCUCUUACAAACUGUUUAAGUACCACCCAAGAAUGCCUUGAGAAUGUUAAUCGUGAUAGCACCGCUUGAUCGAUUUAAGUAAGGUUUGGUAAAAUAGAAAUGUUUAACAUAGAUAUGUUACAACAUAGAGGCAAUGCCUUAAGACUAAGGAUUCACUUGAGCUAUUUCAAUAGCGGUAAGAUUAAGUUUUUCACAUAAGAACUCAUGUUGUUUAUGAUUAUGAUGUUAGUCAUGAUAGCUUUGCUAGAACGGCAUAGAAUGGACUUUCAUGGUAUCAGUAACUUAUGAUGAAGUACUUGUUAGUAAGUGUUUUAAGUUAGAAGUUUGACCAGAGCCUUACAUGAAUAAGAAGUUGACAUGAUUGGGGGCGAAGCUCCCAUUUGACUGAGUGAUUCGUUUUGUUGGGUCUGGCCAGCCCACAUGACUAAGAUCUCGGUGAUUGUCAAUCAAGAUUUUUGAUCUCGAGGUAGAGCAUCAUCCCAAUAUAUAGACUCGCACUAUAUAGUUGUCACAAUAGAAUAUCAUUUUAUCACGAUAAGUAUAGUAGCGAUUAGAAUUACUCAGUUUGUCAUUAGUUUUCAACCAUUAGAACGAUGCACUAAGUAUCAAGCUGUCUUUUGGUAAUCAAAGCGAUUUUUGGAAUCCCAAGCGAAGAACUGGAGCAGGUAGUGAGUAUGAUGAAGUUUUCAACCAGCUGUCAAUAUGUGGUCCACAUGGUGGACAAUAAUGAAAAACGCAUAAAGGAGUUCGUAAAUGAAUCGCGGCAUUAGAUUUUCAAUUCCCCUAGUAAACUAGGGAGAUAUUAUGAAGGAACAAGCAAUGAACGAGACUCUCACCACCGAGUCACUACAACAAUUGGAGAAGGAAAAAGUUCACGCACAAACAAGAUAUGUACACCACCUCAAGAUGGAGGUAAAAAAAAAAAUGAAAUGGAAUGAAAGAAAUAGAGGAAACCCAUUCCCGAGUGGAAGUGGGAGCACAUCAACAUGGACUUCGUAGUGAGCCUACUGAAGUCAGCAUGUGGAAACACUGCAAUUUGGGUCAUAGUGGACCGAUUAUCAAAGUCAGCGCACUUUCUGCCAAUUCAAAUGACUUUUGGAUUGGAGAAACUUGCAAAGUUUUAUGUCAAAGAGAUAGUACGCCUUCACGGUGUACCUGUAUCUAUCACGUUAGAUCGUGACACCAGAUUCACAUCGCGUUUCUGGAAAAGUUUACAAGAAGCAAUGGGCACUCAGCUGAACAUCAGCACAACGUACCACCCUCAGACUGACGGACAGUCAGAAAGAACGAUUCAGAUUCUAGAAGAUAUGUUGCGAACGAUUGUCGCAGACAAAGGUAGAAGUUAGGAGGAUUUGUUACCUCUCGUAGAAUUUGCUUAUAACAAUAGUUAUCAAGCAACAUUUGGAAUAAUCCAGAUGAGGCCUUGUAUGGCCGAAAAUGUAGUUCACCACUUUACUAAGAUGAAGUGGGUGAAAGAAAGCUGUUAGGUCCUGAACUGGUCCAACAGAUGGUUGAGAAGGUCGACCACAUCAAGCAAAGAAUUAAAGAAGCUCGAGAUAGACAAAUGUCCUACGCCGAUAAACGCCGAUCGGAGUUAGAAUUCAAUGUUGGGGAUCGAGUUCUCCUCAAAGUUCCUCCCUCAAAAGGGAGUUAUACGUUUCAGAAAGAGGGGCAAGUUACGGCCCCGUUAUAUAGGACCUUUUGAGAUCCUAGAUAAGAUAGGCCCUAUGCCUAUAGGUUGGCAUUGCCGCCCAGUAUUGGAGACAUACACAAUGUGUUUCAUGUCUCACAGUUAAGAAAGUAUGUGUUUAAUCAAAAACAUUUGAUUAAGCCAGAUAAAGUAGUCCUAGUCAGGACUUAAGUUAUGAAGAAAAACCAGUCCAGAUACUUGAUCGCAAGGUUCAAGUUUUACGAGGCAAUAAUAUUGUUCUCGUCAUGUAGUGGAACCAUUACAGGAUGGAAAAGGCCACGAAAGAGAUGAAUGAAAUAAAAGACUAGUAUCCCCAGCUAGAUUAUCAGAUAUGCAAUUCCGAGGACGGAAUUUUUUUUAAGGAGGGAGGAAUGUAAUACCCCGUUUCCUCCAGCUAAGUUUAGAAUUCAUUUUGAACUUAGAUUAUGAUGAUUUACGCCGGAGAAUUUGAAAUAAAUUUAUUUUAAUUCCAACAAAAAUGAUUUACAAAAACAUUUGUAAAUUUAGUUAUUAAAUUUUUAUGCAUUGCAUAUUUAUUUAAUUUAGCAUUCAAGUAUUUUCACGAGCUAUUUAUUUAAGCGUACCCUGAACGAUUAUUACAGUUUUCAUAGUACAAACCGGAAGACUUUUUAUUUUAUUCAAUCACCUAAUUUCUCCACCUAAUUUCUCCACCUACUCUUCCACAUCCACCUACUCUCCCACCACUACUCCUACCUCCCCACCACUACAUUCCAUAUUACACUUAGCAAGACAUAGCACACUUCAUUUCUUCCUCACACUUCAUUCUCGGCCUCCCCUCUCUCUCUCUAUAUUCUCUUUUCCUCCAUUGAUGUCCAUUGAAGAAAGCUUAGAGAAGCUUCAUCAAACACUACUAUGAGAUAAUCCACCAUCCAAUCCAAUCAAAUACUAUCAUAUCUCAUCAAAUUCAAAGAAGCUAGAGCUAAGAUCAAAGUUGGAGCAAAGUCUUGAUCACCUUUUAAAUCCUUGAGUAAGUGAUCUUAGAUUAUUUAUUUGAUCAUAUUAAUGAUAUGUGAGUGAGUAUAUGAUCAUGAUUGAGCAAGAAAAUCACCCAAUUUAUUUUUAUGAAACUUUCGAAAAUUAGGAGCUUGAAACCCUACGAAUUUUGUUGUUUAUUUUCUUGACUUGGCUUGAGUUAUAUGAUGAUGGAUUUGAGUUUAUGAGAUGAUCUAGAUGAUUAAUGAUGGAUGAGAUUGAAGCUUGAGGUUGAGAAGUGAAAAAUGAAAAAUGUUAGUUUGAGGAAGAAGAUGAUUAUAUAUGUGUUUCUAUAUGUGAUUUUUGUUAUAUGAUGUUGAUUUGAGUGAGUUCUUGAGCAUGCUAUGAUGUUAAGUGAUGGUUUAGAUUGAUGAUUAGAAGUGAUGAAAUGAGUUUUGGGAUGAGUUGUUGUUGAGAAUUAUGAUGUUAUAUUCAAGUUAGAGAUAUUAUUAAGAUAUAUAAGUUUUAAAUACAAAUUGGAGAAUUUCGUAGGCCUACUGACCUACUGUGAUCGAUGGUUUUUCGAUGUCUAAUAGUUUUGAAAAUUUUAUAGCAAGUUUCUACAUGAGUCUUGAGUACCCUGGUAAAAUUUCAAGCUAUUUCAACUUCGUUUGAUAUUUCUUUAAAAUGCAAAACCUAAACUGCACAUUAUUACCGAGAAUUUCAGAGAACAGGGGAACGAGUUAUUCAUUUAAGUAGCUUCCUAUGUGAUCUAGCUUUCCAACUUUUUAUGGUAUCAAUCUUAUUGUGUUAUCUAGAUAUCCACCAAAGUUGAGCCCAGUUUGACAACGUUUACUAUUUUCAAAAAUCAAAACCUUCGAUUGCACAAAACUGCCGAAAUGGUAGAUCGUGGUAAAAACGUCAUAUCUCUCAAACCACUUGGAGCUUUCGACUCUACUUUUUUUAUAUGAAACUAGACUCGAAGAUCUUUCUUUUGGUAUGAGUCUCGAGUCCAGGAGAUGUCGGAGUCAGAACAGAUUAAAUUUUGAAGUUGAACCAGUGUAAAAACAGAGCAUGUUUUAAUGAUGUUUGAUUGUGAUUCUUAUGUGCCUUAUGUGAUUGUGUUGCCUAUGUGUUUGAAUUUUCACUAAAUUAUUUUAGUGAAUUUAAAUCUCUUGAUUUAAAUUUUAAUAUUUAAGGUUGGGACUAUUUAUUUUAAAUGAGGUCCGUUCUUUUAUUUAAUUUAUUGAUGGACUUUAAAAAUGAAAACAAAUUUUGGGAUUAAACCCUCAUUUUUAUAAUAUUUCAAGGCUUUUUGAGUAUGGAUUUUAAAUGGUUAAAAUGUUUUAUUUCAUCUCAAUGGAUUUUAAAAUGUUUUAUUAUUUAUAAAUGAAUAAUGGAAUUUCUUAUUUAUUUACAUGAAAAAAAAAUGAAAUGUAUAGAAUGUUAUAAAAUGGUGCAUGAUUUCUUUUAUGUUCAUGUGAACUUGUGAUUUUAAUGAUACUAAACUUGAGGAUUUUAUUUCUUUCUGUUUAUUGUUUACGUGAUUACGUGAUAUUAUGUGGUUAGUCACGAGGUUAUGAUGGUUUUCGAUUGUCUUUAAUGGAACGAAUUAUGGAUGCUAGAACCCUAAAACACUAAAAGAAAAUCGAGUAAGGAUAUUGUUGGUGUCCUUAACUCAAGAAAUUUAGUUUUCAAGUAUUUAUUCAUUAAAUUUGAAAACCCGGCGUGAUGAAUCAAGUAUGUUUAGUACAUCCAUAAAUACAUUAAGAUUAGUUUCAUGAGACCUAUUAAGGAUAGAAUUUCUUGUAGGCUUUGUGACCAGGGGGAUUAGCGCUGCUUUCCCAAGACAGGUUUAUAUGUGAUUAUGAUCUUCAGGCUUUGCCUAACCAGGUGGGCUUACUUUCCAAAUGUACAAAGUAUGAUUGAGUUAUUAAGCUCUAAAUGUUUCAAUGAAAUGCAAAUUGUUUAUUUAAUGAAAUGAAAACUGUUUAUCCAAUAAAAUGUUUAUGUGCACUCUGCUCUGUUUAAGGCUCGCAAUUCAUGGAUCGAUCGAGGUUCUCUUAUGGCCUAACACGUUAUUUGAGAAUUGUGUACACUUGUUAGUUGUUUCGGUGGGUUGAUCUCCAUCGGGCACUAAUUCAUGUAAGAGGCGUUAUAAGGGUGCUUGGCUGGAUGUGUUCCGGAGCAUGUAUCAUGUAAGGCCUGC